Molecule: ribosomal RNA, 450 nt
Filed under: uncultured Glomeromycotina
Lineage: Eukaryota; Fungi; Glomeromycota
Description: SSU rRNA
Rfam family: Eukaryotic small subunit ribosomal RNA
Source: RNAcentral
AGCAGCCGCGGUAAUUCCAGCUCCAAUAGCGUAUAUUAAAGUUGUUGCAGUUAAAAAGCUCGUAGUUGAAUUUCGAGAUCAAAUUGUUGGUCGUGCCUUGGUACGUACUGGCAUUAUUGGUUUCUCCCUUCUGAAGAACCAUGAUGUCAUUAAUUUGGUGUCAUGGGGAAUCAGGACUGUUACUUUGAAAAAAUUAGAGUGUUUAAAGCAGGCUCGCGCUUGAAUACAUUAGCAUGGAAUAAUGAAAUAGGACGUUUAAUUCUAUUUUGUUGGUUUCUAGGAUUGACGUAAUGAUUAAUAGGGAUAGUUGGGGGCAUUAGUAUUCAAUUGUCGGAGGUGAAAUUCUUGGAUUUAUUGAAGACUAACUACUGCGAAAGCAUUUGCCAAGGAUGUUUUCAUUAAUCAAGAACGAAAGUUAGGGAUCGAGGACGAUCAGAUACCGUCGUAGUC